This 579-nucleotide ribosomal RNA is filed under the name Burkholderiales bacterium 68-10. RNAcentral's name for it is "bacterial SSU rRNA". It matches the Rfam family "Bacterial small subunit ribosomal RNA", at positions 1 to 572 of the family's 1533-position model. Lineage: Bacteria; Pseudomonadati; Pseudomonadota; Betaproteobacteria; Burkholderiales. The record is from RNAcentral.
AGAUCGAACUGUAGAGUUUGAUCCUGGCUCAGAUUGAACGCUGGCGGAAUGCUUUACACAUGCAAGUCGAGCGGCAGCGCGGGGCAACCUGGCGGCGAGCGGCGAACGGGUGAGUAAUACAUCGGAACGUGCCCAGACGUGGGGGAUAACUACUCGAAAGAGUGGCUAAUACCGCAUACGAUCUACGGAUGAAAGCGGGGGAUCGCAAGACCUCGCGCGUCUGGAGCGGCUGAUGGCAGAUUAGGUAGUUGGUGGGAUAAAAGCCUACCAAGCCAACGAUCUGUAGCUGGUCUGAGAGGAUGAUCAGCCACACUGGGACUGAGACACGGCCCAGACUCCUACGGGAGGCAGCAGUGGGGAAUUUUGGACAAUGGGCGAAAGCCUGAUCCAGCCAUUCCGCGUGCAGGAUGAAGGCCCUCGGGUUGUAAACUGCUUUUGUACAGAACGAAAAAGCUCUGGCUAAUACCUGGAGUCCAUGACGGUACUGUAAGAAUAAGCACCGGCUAACUACGUGCCAGCAGCCGCGGUAAUACGUAGGGUGCAAGCGUUAAUCGGAAUUACUGGGCGUAAAGCGUGCGC